CCUUGGCCACCAGUUUGCUCUAAAAUUGGAACGAUACAGAAAAGAUUAGCAUGGCCCCUGUGCAAGGAUGUCAUGAAAAUUCAUGAAGUAUUUAAUAUUUUU
This is a small nuclear RNA of Jaculus jaculus (lesser Egyptian jerboa), 102 nucleotides long. Lineage: Eukaryota; Metazoa; Chordata; Mammalia; Rodentia; Dipodidae. The record is from Ensembl.